GAUGAACGCUGGCGGCGUGCUUAACACAUGCAAGUCGAACGGAAAGGCUCCUGCUUGCAGGGGUACUCGAGUGGCGAACGGGUGAGUAACACGUGGGUGAUCUGCCCUGCGCUUCGGGAUAAGCCUGGGAAACUGGGUCUAAUACCGGAUAGGACCACAUUUUGGAUGGUGUGGUGGAAAGUUUUUCGGUGUGGGAUGAGCUCGCGGCCUAUCAGCUUGUUGGUGGGGUAAUGGCCUACCAAGGCGUCGACGGGUAGCCGGCCUGAGAGGGUGUACGGCCACAUUGGGACUGAGAUACGGCCCAGACUCCUACGGGAGGCAGCAGUGGGGAAUAUUGCACAAUGGGCGCAAGCCUGAUGCAGCGACGCCGCGUGGGGGAUGACGGCCUUCGGGUUGUAAACUCCUUUCGCUAGGGACGAAGCGCAAGUGACGGUACCUGGAGAAGAAGCACCGGCUAACUACGUG
This 465-nucleotide ribosomal RNA is filed under the name uncultured bacterium. RNAcentral's name for it is "partial 16S ribosomal RNA". It matches the Rfam family "Bacterial small subunit ribosomal RNA", at positions 28 to 507 of the family's 1533-position model. The record is from RNAcentral.